RNAcentral lists this long non-coding RNA (1574 nucleotides) under Homo sapiens (human). RNAcentral's name for it is "novel transcript". The record is from RNAcentral. Lineage: Eukaryota; Metazoa; Chordata; Mammalia; Primates; Hominidae.
GGUGGUCCCUGCAAAGAAAGUCCCAGCUCCCAAGGCUCCAAAUGGACAGGGCACCAUGUUGACCCCUUCGUUGGCCUCCAGUUCGCCGACUGUAACAUGUUUCAUCCAGUUCAGGACGUUUAUUUAUUUCCAACUUGCAUACAAAACAUACUGAGAAACUAAAACCAUCGUUAAAAGUGAAGACACGUUGAGACAGGUAUCUCGACCUGCCAAGUAUACAGCUAAAGCUGAGUUCAUAAAAAGGGAUGAUUUGGCCGACGGUCAUCUGCCAGAUUCUGAUGAUGAUUCAGAAGUCAGUGUGGAAGAAGAUCAGAGGGAGAGGCAGGCGCUCUUUGACUUAUCAAGCUGCUCCCUGAGGCCCAAAAGCUUCAAGUGUCAGACUUGUAAAAAGUCAUAUAUAGGGAAGUGGGGACUGGCCCAGCAUUUUAAACUUAAUCCAGGCCAUGGCCAGCUGGACCCUGAGAUGGUGCUAUCUGAGAAAGCCAAUGGGAGCACCCUCCGGGGGUGCACAGAGGAAAGGACGCUCAGCCUGACCUUCCCGAGGCUGUCCGUGCCAGCGGCUCCGCGUGAGGGAGGGGCCCGCUCCUGCUUGGUGAGAGAGUCAGCACGCGGUGGCCUGGUGUCUUCUGUGGCUUCAGCGUCACCUAGUGCAGGCUGCCAUUCAACAAACGCAUUGUCAACAGUCAACCAAAAGAAACCCAUUGGCCACCAUACCCUGAGGACUAACCCUGACACAGAUGCCCUUCCAGAUGCCCUCAGUAGUCUAACUGAUUCCAUCGCCCCAGCCUUGGGGGAGAAGCACUGCUGCCUAUGCACUCCAUUUACAGGUGAACUGUCACCCCUACAACUCAGCUUGCAACCAGCCCUGGCCACCACCAGUUUCCCCACACUGAGCUGAAUAUUGGACAUGCCCAUCUUAGACAUUCCAGCCCAUUCUGAAAUUCCACAUCGAUUCACCCGACAAAGUCUGAAGUUCCAGGGCAAUUUAUCUGGAAAAGCUCACCUGGAAUCAUGUGUCAUUUCAACCAACAACUGUUGAAGAGGACGUGGCAUCAAAACCAAGGUUAUCAAUUAUUUAUAAGGGUUGUGUGGUGGUUGGUCCAAGCAUCUCUCCUUCAUGCCAUCACUCCUUUCAAGAGCUGCCUCUAUUUUCUAAUUUAGCACAGGAAUUUAGAUGCCCCUAAAUAAGUAGGCAUCCAGUAUCUGCCCACACCAGUUUUAGUGAGAGUACAUAUGGAGACACUACCACCACCCCUGCUCUCCUACUGCAUACCCCACCAUGCCAAAGCAUGGUGGCUCACACCUGUAAUCCCAGUGCUUUGGGAGGCCAAAGAGGAGGAACACUUGAGGCCAGAAGUAUGAGACCAGCCUGGGCAACAUAGUGAGACCUCAUUUCUAUAAAUAAGUUAAAAAAACAAAAAAAUAGGGCAUAGUGGUGCACAUGUGUGGUCCCAGUUACUCAGCAGGCUGAGGCUGGAAGAUCACUUGAGCCCAGGAGUUUGAGGCUGCAGUGAGCUAGGAUUAUGCCACUGCACUCUAGCCUGGGCAACAGAGAGAGACCCCAUCUCUAAAAA